This 51-nucleotide ribosomal RNA is filed under the name Corbicula sp. form B rr3. Its description in RNAcentral is "partial 5.8S ribosomal RNA". It matches the Rfam family "5.8S ribosomal RNA", at positions 1 to 50 of the family's 154-position model. From Rfam's summary of the family: 5.8S ribosomal RNA (5.8S rRNA) is a component of the large subunit of the eukaryotic ribosome. It is transcribed by RNA polymerase I as part of the 45S precursor that also contains 18S and 28S rRNA. The record is from RNAcentral. Lineage: Eukaryota; Metazoa; Mollusca; Bivalvia; Venerida; Cyrenidae.
CAACUCUAUGCGGUGGAUCACUCGGCUCGUGCGUCGAUGAAGAGCGCAGCC